Molecule: transfer RNA, 77 nt
Filed under: Candidatus Uhrbacteria bacterium
Lineage: Bacteria; Candidatus Uhriibacteriota
Description: tRNA-Thr
Rfam family: tRNA (bases 1-65)
About the family: Transfer RNA (tRNA) molecules are approximately 80 nucleotides in length. Their secondary structure includes four short double-helical elements and three loops (D, anti-codon, and T loops).
Source: RNAcentral
GCCGAGAUAGCUCAGUUGGUAGAGCAACGGUUUUGUAAACCGUAGGUNNUCGCGAUCUUUCGUUUCAUGGGGCCCCA